AAAGUCUGUCUAUUCCAUUGCAUCAUUCUUCUGGAACUUUGAUAAUAGCCAAUUCUACUGCCUUAACAGCAUCAUUGCUUGCAGUUGGCAAGGACCAGAGAGAGAAAACAAGGUCACACUGCUAGUAAGGUGUUGGUUUCAGGAUUCAACUUCAGUAAAUCUAACUCCAAACUGUGCUCUUUUCUGCUAUUCUGUAUAUUUUGCUACUGCUAUUUCAAACAUUGGCCUUCAAGUCUUAAAAGACCACCAGGAAAAUCUGUAACCAGGCAAUGGACUAUUUCAUAUAAUAGAGUUUCUUGCUCAUGUGUUUAAGGAAUGGCUUGGUCAGCUCUGAUAAAAGACUGCCACUGAGUUCAGGUAAUUUCACCUGUACCAAUUUUGGACUUUGGUUGAGGACAGCAGAUACAGGGAACAUUUACUUUUCAUGGAGGAAAUGGAAGUUCCUAGAGAGGGCUAAUUAGAAAGCGGAACAGAGAAGGGGAAAAAGGAGUGUUCCCUGACUUCACUGUGAGAGAUCUGCAAGAAGAGAUUCGACAAGUGAUGCCAUUUAUUCUCAUCUCUCCAAAGACAUGAUCAUUUAGAUGAUUGUAGUGGAUAGCAUAAUACAUCCAGAAGGCAUUAGCAAAGCUCUUUCUUUCCCCUGAUCUUUGAUUUGCUAGAGUCCAUAUUAAGAACUGCACAUUGCAUCUAACUUACCCUAAAAUCUGUGCUGCCACUUGAAAUAUUUCAGAAAGUUUUCUUCUUCUGUUAUGCCAUCCAGCAAAGUUUUACAAAACAGCAUGCUUUCAUUCACAGUGUUUUCCAAAAUAUAUCUUACAAAUGCCAACAACUGAGCACAACCUGAAACAUCUGUGGAUUUGACCAUUUAUGGGGCAAAGUAAUCACUUUCCAUACUCUUUAAAACCAGCUGUUCACAGGCAUUAAUUGCCAUGUCACUUAUACGCCUUAGAACAGCAGCAUUUGACAAUGGUGCACGUGUUAAUUUGUUUACCACAUCUGGUUCUUUUUCAGUGAAUACCGUCUUUGUGGCAGAUGGCAAUAGAAGA
This is a long non-coding RNA of Prionailurus viverrinus (fishing cat), 1046 nucleotides long. RefSeq lists it as uncharacterized. NCBI's taxonomy places the organism in Eukaryota, Metazoa, Chordata, Mammalia, Carnivora, Felidae. The transcript has 5 exons. The record is from RefSeq and is a predicted model, not a curated record.